CUCCUACACUUCUUUUCUCUCAAGUAUAUUUUGCUUCCUCUCCUAAAUUUAAAGGUCCAAAUUCACAGAGGUACUUUGGCCUAUAACCCCCUGACACGUAAACCCCAGUUUAGGCUCCACUGUAAUUUUCAAAAUUCUUAUUAGCUGCCAUGUGCACUGACUUGAUGCUUAAAUUUUUGCUGUAUAAAUUCUCUAGGAACCUAUGUUUUUGCCUCUCAACUACUGUUUCAGUAAGUGCUUGGCUCCCUGUCCCCUACCUAAGCCUUAGAGUGAUCCACGCACAUGGGGCAUAGAGGUGGUUUUCUGCAUAUUUUGCCUGUAAGGGCCUAAUCCAGUUGGUGUGCUCAGAGGCUGCCUACUGCAUCAGGUCCCAUUCAAAAUCUGGCUAGCAAUGGUACUGCUAGUACCCACCUUAUACUUAUUGCAAAGUGGUUAAUGCAUUUACGGGGGAGAACCAGGUUCAAUUUCCCCCACUUCUGCAACCCCCUGGCCACAGGAGCAUAUGGGAUUUGAGCUUUUGGGAGCAUGCUUUGACCAGAAUUCUAGUUGUGUGAUAGACUGAUGCGAGACUCCCUCAAAAAUUAAGGAGUCUCUGGGCUCAGGAAAGAAUGGAAAUGACUCUAUAGUCUGGUGAAUAGAAUGUCCACUUGGGUGACCAGUAGUGAGUUCUUCCUGCUUCCAUGGUCUCUAUGAUUAUUUAACCAGAAUAGAAGAAACAGUUUCAACAGGAGAGACUGUGGGAGGGGAAUCCUCCCGCUCCCCCCCCAAAAAAAUUAUUCCAUAGCUCAGUGAGUAGAGCCAUGUCCUGAAUGAUGGAAGUUUCCUGUUCUAACCAUUUCUACUCAUAAAAUAGGCAGGUAGGAGUAGAACCUGCAUCUCCCACAUCCCAGAUGAGCAGUCCAAUCACUGAGCUAAACAUUUAAAGGCAUCACCACCCUCGUUGUAUAUGAAGGGAAGCAGGCACUGAACUAAUUUUUGACUGAUACAGUUUAGGUGCCUAAGCUGCCAUUGCUUUACAAUUAUAGACUUCCUUGCAUGCUUAUAUUUCUGGAGUUUUGUUUUUAGGUAGACUCUUUUCUUUUCCUGGAAGAGGAGAAUAGCAUAAUGUAACAAUAAUUGAACAUAUUCAUUUUUCCCAUGAUGUAUUAACAGCAUAGGAGGACAUUAAAUAGAACCAUCUUGGUUCAGUUAUUAUUUGGACUAACAAAGCUUUAGAAUUCUGGUCACCAACAGAACUGGGUUGCAUUGUUGUCAGACACAUGUAAAUAAUAACCAGUCAGUGGGCAGUACUAACUUUGAUCUUUUAUUUUCUUCUUUUAGUUUUGGAAAUUAUUGUCAUAAUGGCACCAAGACAUUUCAUAAUUUCUGGGAAUUAUCACACUUGUUGAGUAGCUAGCCACUUGGCCUCCUGCCACAUCUCUCAAACUACUAAUAGUAAUGGAUUGGGGACUUUGUGUGUGUUUUUAGCACUCAUUAAAGAUGCCAGAUUGGCAGCCCUGGCAAAUGAAGUUGUCUUUAUUUGCAAACUAGGCACAGUAUGAGCAGCAGCAGAGUGUACUUUUCCAUUCUGUGCCACAAAUGUGCCCUAAUGAGGAUGAAAUGCUCUGGGUGUUGUUACCCUCUCUACUGAGAGUGCCAAUUUUGGAGGCUUGUUUCUCUGGAGAACACCACAGGGAACUGGAGUAUGAGACCAAGCAACUCCUUUCAUGAAGGGCACUGAAGAAUCAUCAUCUGGCAAUACCUUUCAGUCACUACCAACCUACGUAAAACUUGAGCUGGAGGGUGAGAAACUUUGUAUCUUAUAGCUAAUCCCCAGAGUUAGCAAGUCCAUAACUAACAGCCAUAUUAUUAGUUCAUGUGCUUUACAUUUCAGACGGACAGUGUCAUUCUGUAUGAUAUCAUCUGAGGUGAAUGCUCUGCCCACCCUGUCUUUCUUAUCCAUCCCACACACCAACUAUCUUCUAGAUUAGAAUCCCUUUAAAAUAGUAACUAGUAACAGUCAGAUUCUAUGUGCAGUGUGAUUUCAUUGACUUCAGUGAGUCUGUACUGGUAUAACUGAGUGGAGAGACCAUAAAAGUACUCUAUAAUCAUAUUAACUCUUCUUGUUGAACUUGACCCAAGGUUUAUGUUCCUUUCCAAUUAAAACAUAAGGGAGUAUGGAGCAUAAUGGGAUAUUAUUGUACCAAUUUCAUAUUGAAAUUAUCCAAAUAAUGAGUUAGAUACUGUUAGGCCAGGACCUGCAUAGACAAAGUGACAAUGGUGCAUAUCUAUGAACAACCUACAAUGGGUUGUCUAGCUCUCCUCCAGAGCCUGAUAGGGAAACCACCAAGUAAGGGCUACCUGGCAUGAAUGCAGAUAUGCAUUGCAUAUCUGUGUGUCUUUUGGUUAAUGUCUUCCUGUCUCUCUCUUUAAUUAAUCAAGGUCCACUACAGGUUGAACCUCUCUAGUCUGGCACUCUAGUGGUGUCCUGGUCUGCUCUGCUUCCUGCCACUCCCAUUGACCAGGAAUGGUGAUCCAUAGAAAAUAGAAGCUGUGAUUGCUGGUACCUGCAGAGGCACAGGGUACUGGGAUGUCACAAUCAGAAGAAGGAGACUUUCUCUGCCUCAGUAUGGAGAGUCUUCCAGACUAACUCCAUCUCUUGGAGGACAGUUUAUUCUAAGAAAAACUGGAAGGGCACGCAAGAUACCUGGAAAACUCACCCAAAACAUCAGACUGUUCUAGCAGCAGCAACAAAGUUAACCUGCUGCUCUUUGGCCUGGCUUGAAGGAAAAGGGAGGGACAGCAACAGAUCUGUGUUGAAAAGCUAGUAGUGGUUUACAGCUACAUAUCAUUUCAGCAGCACGACAAACAAAUGAACAAGGAAAUCAGCAGCAGACGGGUGUAAUCAGCUAUUGUCUGUAAUUGUUUUGAGUUCUUUGCCUAUCAUUCCUUGUUGGGAUUGAGCAUUAUUCUUCUGAUUAUAUGAACCUGACAGCCUGAUCAUAA
Non-coding RNA from Pelodiscus sinensis (Chinese soft-shelled turtle), 2985 nucleotides. The record is from RefSeq and is a predicted model, not a curated record. NCBI's taxonomy places the organism in Eukaryota, Metazoa, Chordata, Testudines, Trionychidae.